RNAcentral lists this ribosomal RNA (323 nucleotides) under uncultured eukaryote. RNAcentral's name for it is "partial 18S ribosomal RNA". It matches the Rfam family "Eukaryotic small subunit ribosomal RNA", at positions 1470 to 1796 of the family's 1831-position model. The record is from RNAcentral.
CCCUUAGAUGUCCUGGGCUGCACGCGCGCUACACUGAUGUGUCCAGUAAGCACCUAACCUCUUCCGAAAGGAACGGGUAACCUUUGCAAAGCACAUCGUGAUGGGGAUAGAUUAUUGCAAUUAUUAGUCUUAACGAGGAAUUCCUAGUAAGCACAAGUCAUCAGCUUGUGUUGAUUACGUCCCUGCCCUUUGUACACACCGCCCGUCGCUCCUACCGAUUGAAUGUUCCGGUGAGCUCUUCGGACUGCGCGGUCUGCAGUUUCUGCGUUCCGUGCGGAAAGUUGCGCAAACCUUAACAUUUAGAGGAAGGAGAAGUCGUAACA